RNAcentral lists this long non-coding RNA (1445 nucleotides) under Marmota monax (woodchuck). The record is from RNAcentral. Lineage: Eukaryota; Metazoa; Chordata; Mammalia; Rodentia; Sciuridae.
GCAGAUUAAAAUACUAACACAGCAAGCUCACAAUCUAAAGUUAUUUACAGCUACUUUAAAGUUUUCAAUAAUAAAUUUCAACAACAAAUCUAACAAUUUUUAUGUUUAUCUAAACACUAAAACUUCAGCUCCUGGUUUUAUUCAAUUUGAAGCCACUUUGAAAUAGAGAAGAAGCUGAAUAAUAGAAUUAGGUGAAGAAUCCAGUUCUACUUCUUAGUGAAAAAUAACUAGUAAAAUACCUAUAUGGUGGUCAUGAUGAACCUGUUUAAAUAAAUGGGGGGAAAGUGGGUGAAUUUAAUAAUUCAUCCUUCUCUAGAACCUAUGGAUCAGUCAGGAUACAAACCCAGGAAUUAUUAGGAAACAAAACUCAAAGAAAUGUCUUUACUCUCUACUGCUGAAAAGGUUGACAAACUUAUCCUUUAAGUCAUGCUUGUUGGAAGCCUGCUUUCAAGAGACUACCUCUUCUCUGCAUCAUAAAUAGAAGCUACAGGAGAUUGAGAGUCCACAGACAGGGCUACAAGAAAUUGCUGUCCCCUUUACCACCAGGUUUUACCAGGGACCUGAGAUGUCAGUAGAAAAUCCCCUGCAAGUCAAUCACAGGUUGGCCUAAUUUUGAAUCUCAGAUUACACUGUUUUGUUGUGUGAAGACAGAUAGGAAACUAUCUGAAGCCAGAGCUGGGAUCUGCUCAUGUGGAGUUCUGGUGGCAGUGAGUGGUCGGUCCACUCUUGGAUUGAAACCUCAGAUUAGUGAGCUAUCCAGAGAUGGCUUUAAUUUCCUAUGGAACAGAGAGAGGAAGGAGAGCAAGGAAACUCACCCCAAAUCUGGCCAUUCAGGCUGUGUCUCAGUGUUCCAUUUUCAUGCCCUUUGCAACAAGAUUUGUUCAGAUAAGUGUUUCCAUUACAAUUUUCGUGGACCCUCUGCUUCCCCAUUCACACAUACCCCUCUGAUGCUGUAGAUCCAUUUGUCUACAGAGUUCCUUUGGAGACCCUAAUAAAGAUACCCCAGCAGGGAACCAGUGGUGGCCUGGCCAUGAACAAGCCAAUAUCUGUAAUUAAACAAUCUGCAAGCACAGAAACAGCAUCCCAGGCCAUGAGCAAGAGCCGGAAUGUUGUUCAUGAGGUGUUUCCUUUGCAUUUCUCCAUUCAAUAGUGAUGGGUAGCAAAAAGCCCCUUUUGUGCAAAUAAUAAUUAGUUCUGUGUCCUACUUUGAUUUUCUCUAAGACUUUUGAGAGGAGGCUAUUUAGAUUUUUAUUUUCCUCCUCAAGAGCAGCUUCCUUUCUAAAAUGCUUUUCUCUCACGUGCUGGAGGAGCGUGUGCAUCAUUCUGAAAUACCCAGGCAGUUGCCUUUUGCCAAAAUUAAUUCUCUAAGAAAAAUAGAAUGGUCUUUUUGUUUUUCUUUUUAGGAUUUAAAGCCUGAAAGGGAUCAGUGGAAUUUUGAAAGCCCA